RNAcentral lists this ribosomal RNA (497 nucleotides) under uncultured bacterium. RNAcentral's name for it is "partial 16S ribosomal RNA". It matches the Rfam family "Bacterial small subunit ribosomal RNA", at positions 28 to 507 of the family's 1533-position model. The record is from RNAcentral.
GAUGAACGCUGGCGGCGUGCCUAAUACAUGCAAGUCGAGCGAACAGGCGAGGAGCUUGCUCCUCUGACGUUAGCGGCGGACGGGUGAGUAACACGUGGAUAACCUACCUAUAAGACUGGGAUAACUUCGGGAAACCGGAGCUAAUACCGGAUAAUAUAUUGAACCGCAUGGUUCAAUAGUGAAAGACGGUUUUGCUGUCACUUAUAGAUGGAUCCGCGCCGCAUUAGCUAGUUGGUAAGGUAACGGCUUACCAAGGCAACGAUGCGUGGCCGACCUGAGAGGGUGAUCGGCCACACUGGAACUGAGACACGGUCCAGACUCCUACGGGAGGCAGCAGUAGGGAAUCUUCCGCAAUGGGCGAAAGCUUGACGGAGCAACGCCGCGUGAGUGAUGAAGGUCUUCGGAUCGUAAAACUCUGUUAUUAGGGAAGAACAAAUGUGUAAGUAACUAUGCACGUCUUGACGGUACCUAAUCAGAAAGCCACGGCUAACUACGUG